This 1044-nucleotide ribosomal RNA is filed under the name uncultured Cortinarius. RNAcentral describes it as "eukaryotic LSU rRNA". The stretch from base 629 to 1044 matches the Rfam family "Eukaryotic large subunit ribosomal RNA", at positions 1 to 410 of the family's 3401-position model. Lineage: Eukaryota; Fungi; Basidiomycota; Agaricomycetes; Agaricales; Cortinariaceae. The record is from RNAcentral.
GUUCGUAGUGACCUGCGGAGGAUCAUUAUUGAAAUAAACCUGAUGAGUUGCUGCUGGCUCUCUAGGGAGCAUGUGCACACUUGUCAUCUUUAUAUCUCCACCUGUGAACCUUUUGUAGACCUGGAUAUCUCUCUGAAUUUGCCUGACAAAUUUGGAUUUGAGGAUUGAUUUUUUUCUUUCCUUGCAUUUUCAGGUUUAUGUUUUUCAUAUACCCCAUGUAUGUUUAUAGAAUGUAAUAAACGGGCCUUUGUGCCUAUAAAUUUAUACAACUUUCAGCAACGGAUCUCUUGGCUCUCGCAUCGAUGAAGAACGCAGCGAAAUGCGAUAAGUAAUGUGAAUUGCAGAAUUCAGUGAAUCAUCGAAUCUUUGAACGCAUCUUGCGCUCCUUGGUAUUCCGAGGAGCAUGCCUGUUUGAGUGUCAUUAAUAUAUCAAUCCUCUUCAGCUUUAUGCAUGUCGAGUGUUGGAUGUGGGGGUUUUUGCUGGACUCUCUUGAGGUCAGCUCUCCUAAAAUACAUUAGCAAAACAAUUUGUUUACCGCUCAUUGGUGUGAUAACUAUCUACGCUAUUGACAGUAAAUCACAGUUUGGCUUCUAACCGUCCAUUAAAAUGGACAACCUUUUAUCAAUGUGACCUCAAAUCAGGUAGGAUUACCCGCUGAACUUAAGCAUAUCAAUAAGCGGAGGAAAAGAAACUAACAAGGAUUCCCCUAGUAACUGCGAGUGAAGCGGGAAAAGCUCAAAUUUAAAAUCUGGCAGUCUUUGGCUGUCCGAGUUGUGAUCUAGAGAAGUGCUAUCCGCGCUGGACCGUGUAAAAGUCUCCUGGAAUGGAGCGUCAUAGAGGGUGAGAAUCCCGUCUUUGACACGGACUCCCAGGGCUUUGUGAUGUGCUCUCAAAGAGUCGAGUUGUUUGGGAAUGCAGCUCAAAAUGGGUGGUAAAUUCCAUCUAAAGCUAAAUAUUGGCGAGAGACCGAUAGCGAACAAGUACCGUGAGGGAAAGAUGAAAAGAACUUUGGAAAGAGAGUUAAACAGUACGUGAAAUUGCUG